AUGUCUCAUGAUGCAUGUUAUUUGUAAAUGAUAUUGUCAUAGUGGAUGAAAUUAGUGGAAAAGUUAAUCAAAAGUUAGACUUGUAGAGGACUCUUGAUUCUUGAGAGGAAAAAGUUUUAGACUAAGUAAAAAUAAAACAGAAUAUAUGCAUGCAAAUUUAGUUCUCAUAGAAGGAAUAGAGGAAGUUUCAAUUCGAUGAAGUUUUGAAGCCAAAACGCAAUCAAUUUAAAUAUGUAGGUUCUACCAUCUAAAAGAACAAAGUAAUAGAUAAAGAUAUAACUCACAGGAUCAAAACAAAAUGGAUGAAA
This 308-nucleotide unclassified non-coding RNA is filed under the name Hevea brasiliensis (rubber tree). Lineage: Eukaryota; Viridiplantae; Streptophyta; Magnoliopsida; Malpighiales; Euphorbiaceae. The record is from RNAcentral.